UACAGAGGGUGCGAGCGUUGUCCGGAAUCACUGGGCGUAAAGGGCGCGUAGGUGGCGCUGCAAGUCGGUGGUGAAAGCUCGAUGCUUAACAUCGAGUCGGCCAUCGAAACUGCAGGGCUGGAGCACUGUAGGGGCAGAUGGAAUUCCGGGUGUAGCGGUGAAAUGCGUAGAGAUGUGGAGGAACACCGAUGGCGAAGGCAGCCUCCUGGGCCAGCACUGACGCUCAUGCACGAAAGCGUGGGGAGCAAACAGG
Molecule: ribosomal RNA, 253 nt
Filed under: uncultured bacterium
Lineage: Bacteria
Description: partial 16S ribosomal RNA
Rfam family: Bacterial small subunit ribosomal RNA
Source: RNAcentral